RNAcentral lists this long non-coding RNA (294 nucleotides) under Fragaria vesca (wild strawberry). RNAcentral's name for it is "long non-coding RNA (FVES_LNC002882)". Lineage: Eukaryota; Viridiplantae; Streptophyta; Magnoliopsida; Rosales; Rosaceae. The record is from RNAcentral.
CGCAAAUCCAGGCGAAGAAUGCAUACAUCACAAAGAACAAGGGCUUCAUUCUAAACGAUCAAGUCUUGAUGCGUGUUCUCCAGUAAUGUGUGUUAGUUUCUUCGUUCCCUCUGUCAGUGUAGCAUGGCUGGGAGACAUAAGAUGAGGACAGGAUAUGUAGUUUUACUCUCUAAUUGUGAUGAGGACAGGAUAUGUAGUUUUACUCUCUAAUUGUGAUGGUGACAGUAUUCGACCCUUAGAGAUAUUCUACCCUCUUAUAGCAUGCUUGAAAAUUUUCCCUUUAUAACACAUGCG